This 168-nucleotide ribosomal RNA is filed under the name uncultured bacterium. RNAcentral's name for it is "partial 16S ribosomal RNA". It matches the Rfam family "Bacterial small subunit ribosomal RNA", at positions 1335 to 1500 of the family's 1533-position model. The record is from RNAcentral.
CUAGUAAUCGCGGAUCAGAAUGCCGCGGUGAAUACGUUCCCGGGUCUUGUACACACCGCCCGUCACACCAUGGGAGUCGGGAAUGCCCGAAGCCGGUGGCCCAAUCUUUAAAGAAGGGAGCCGUCGAAGGCAGGCCGGAUGACUGGGGUGAAGUCGUAACAAGGUACC